Molecule: ribosomal RNA, 253 nt
Filed under: uncultured bacterium
Lineage: Bacteria
Description: partial 16S ribosomal RNA
Rfam family: Bacterial small subunit ribosomal RNA
Source: RNAcentral
UACGUAGGUGACAAGCGUUGUCCGGAUUUACUGGGCGUAAAGCGCGUGUAGGCGGCCUGGUAAGUCGGUCGUGAAAGCCCUUGGCUUAACCAAGGAACUGCGAUCGAAACUGCUGGACUAGAGUAUCGGAGGGGGUGGCGGAAUUCCCGGUGUAGAGGUGAAAUUCGUAGAUAUCGGGAGGAACACCUGUGGCGAAGGCGGCCACCUGGAAGAUUACUGACGCUGAGACGCGAAAGCGUGGGGAGCAAACAGG